AGUGAACGCUGGCGGUAGGCCUAACACAUGCAAGUCGAACGGCAGCACAGUAAGAGCUUGCUCUUACGGGUGGCGAGUGGCGGACGGGUGAGGAAUACAUCGGAAUCUACUUUUUCGUGGGGGAUAACGUAGGGAAACUUACGCUAAUACCGCAUACGACCUACGGGUGAAAGCAGGGGAUCUUAGGACCUUGCGCGAGUGAAUGAGCCAAUGUCGGAUUAGCUAGUUGGCGGGGUAAAGGCCCACCAAGGCGACGAUCCGUAGCUGGUCUGAGAGGAUGAUCAGCCACACUGGAACUGAGACACGGUCCAGACUCCUACGGGAGGCAGCAGUGGGGAAUAUUGGACAAUGGGCGCAAGCCUGAUCCAGCCAUACCGCGUGGGUGAAGAAGGCCUUCGGGUUGUAAAGCACUUUUGUUGGGAAAGAAAAGCAGCAGGUUAAUACCCCGCUGUUCUGACGGUACCCAAAGAAUAAGCACCGGCUAACUUCGUG
This 492-nucleotide ribosomal RNA is filed under the name uncultured bacterium. Its description in RNAcentral is "partial 16S ribosomal RNA". It matches the Rfam family "Bacterial small subunit ribosomal RNA", at positions 29 to 507 of the family's 1533-position model. The record is from RNAcentral.